AUAUGUUGGAGAAGUAUACAAGAACCUUACAGAAAUAUGUAGACAAUUAAAUAACAUAUUCUCCACGCAUUUGUUGAUGAUGUUUUUAAUUGUUGUUUGUUAUACUCUUCACGGUAUUAGUUUUGCUUUGCUAUUUUUGGACGACGUUUUCGUAUGGAUCGAAUCAAUUUACUAUGUUUCAAUGUUCCUGGCUAACAUGUCUUUUGUAAUACACUCAUUUGAAUGUAUGAAGAAAACAAGCAGGGAAGUUAUUAGGACAUGUUACUUUUUUGAAGAAGAAUUGAAUAUUGGUAAGCUUAGACAGGAAAUUGGCUGUCUAAUAAUUUAUAUGAAAAAUCUGGAACCAACCUUGUCAGCUGCUGGAUUUUUCGAUAUAAACCUAGAACUAUUUUCUACGUAUAUUUCGACAGUUUUUGCUUAUUUAAUAAUUGUUUUACAGUUCAA
This is a long non-coding RNA of Sitophilus oryzae (rice weevil), 444 nucleotides long. RefSeq lists it as uncharacterized. The transcript has 2 exons. Lineage: Eukaryota; Metazoa; Arthropoda; Insecta; Coleoptera; Curculionidae. The record is from RefSeq and is a predicted model, not a curated record.